Molecule: long non-coding RNA, 2220 nt
Filed under: Salmo salar (Atlantic salmon)
Lineage: Eukaryota; Metazoa; Chordata; Actinopteri; Salmoniformes; Salmonidae
Description: lncRNA (ENSSSAG00000109822.1)
Source: RNAcentral
GAUGAACCUAGUGUGUCAGGAUUGUUCCACAGAGCAUUAUGGGGUAGAGAUUGAAAAGUGAUAGUUUUUUGAGGAUAUUAUUCAAUUAAAAUUAGUUUAUUCAAAUUACAGGAGGUAGAUAAAAAAUAGUUUUCUUAGUUUUAGAACUUUAUUUUUGUGUCGAGUUAGUGCAAUUCAUUUAAAUUUGCCUUGCUAACUUCAGUAGCAGUAGCUAGCUACCAACUCAAGUGUGAAGUUUUCGCCGCCAUCGCUACCGAAAAUAUUGGCUUUUUGUUGAAGAACCCCUUUCAUUUGCGGAAAAGGUGUGAAUUAAAACCAUGGGUCAAACUGAGAUCAGUUUCAUGAAGAAGGAUGAAAAGGCGAGGGCUUUCAAUUCCACCUGGUAUCAAACGGAUAGCUGGUUGACAGGGAGUCUUUCAUCAAGCCGUCUGUAUUUCUGGCCUUGCCUACUUUUUGGAAAAGUCUCAGCCUUGGGCGAAAGAUGUGUACAGUUACCUGAAGAACAUCAAUCGUUCAGCUAAACGGCUAAACAAAAGCAGGGAGCAUAUACAUGCCCACAUCAGAGUCAAGCUUCUAGGAAAAAGCUGCAUCGAUCAUGACGAAGGUCAACAAAACAAGAAAGUAAAAAGCAACAGGGAUGUUCUCAAGCGGCUUAUCAACACCACUGCGUUUAUAGGCAUUCAAGAAUGGGCUUUUUGAGGACAUGACGAGAGGGAAAGUUCCGCUAACAAGGGCAACUACAAGGAGCUUGCUGCGGUAAUUGCGCGUUACGAUGCUUUACUUGCUGAACAUAUGGAACUUUCGACUGUCUUUUCUGAGAUGUCUAAAUCAAUUCAGAAUGAUCAGCUCCCAUCGCUUCAUCCUUUAAAUGUUAGAUUAAAGAGAGGCUGACGCAGCGCAUUUUGCGUUACGCUAAGUUCCCUCCUGUUCCCUGAUUAAGAGGUGAUGACCAUUCCACUACCAUCGUCAACUCUCUCCUGACAUGAACUGAAGCCACGUCUCAUGUAGAGGUUCGACCGAUUAUGAUUUUUCAACGCCGAUACCGAUUAUUGGAGGACCAGAAAAGGCCGCCGUUACAGAAUUACCCACCAACAACGGACCAAGCAGCAGAGGAAGGAGCAGCACAAGGAGAGGCACCAGGAGAAAGGCUAUCUGGAGUCAUGGACUUGGGAGGAAAUCCUGGACGGGAAAGGACCAUGGACUCAAGCUGGGGAUUAUCGCCGCCCACAGUGGGAGAUCGAGGCGGCGAGAGCUGAGAGGCGCUGGUAUGAGGAGAGGGAGCGCAACGGACACGGGAGGCAGCCCCACAAUUUUUUUGGGGGGGGCACACGGGGAGAUUGGCGGAGUCAGGUGGUAGACCUAAGCCAACUCCCCGUGCUUACCGGAAGCAGCGUGGUACUGGUAAGACACCGUGUUAUGCUGUGGAGUGCACGGUGUCCCCAGUGCGCGUUCAAAGCCCGGUGCGCUACAUACCAGCCCCCCGCAAGUGCCAUGCGAGUGCAGGCAUCGAGCCAGGACGGAUGGUGCCAGCUCAGCGCGUCUGGUCUCCAGUGCGCCUCCUCGGUCCAGGUUAUCCUGCGCCGGCGUUGUGCACUGUGUCUCCAGAGCGCUGGGAGAGUCCAGUUCGCCCAAUGCCUGCUCUCCGCCCGUGCCGGGCCAAAGUGGGCAUUCAGCCUGGAGUGUGGGUAAAGAGUGUCCGUACCAGAACUCCAGUGCUCCCCCACAGCCCGGUUUAUCCUGUGCCUCCUCCUCGGACCAGGCCUCCAGUGGGUCUCCCCAUCCUGGUCCAUCCUGUGUCACCUCCCAGGACUAGGCCUCCAGUGGGUCUCCCCAUCCUGGUCCGUCCUGUGCCACCUCCCAGGACUAGGCCUCCAGUGGGUCUCACCUGUCCAGAGCAGUCAGAGCUGCCCGCCAGUCAACAGUCGUCAGAGCUGCCCGCCAGUCAACAGUCGUCAGAGCUGCCCGCCAGUCAACAGUCGUCAGAGCUGCCCGCCAGUCAACAGUCGUCAGAGCUGCCCACCAGUCAACAGUCGUCAGAGCUGCCCGCCAGUCAACAGUCGUCAGAGCUGCCCGCCAGUCAACAGUCGCCAGAGCAGACUGCGCUGAACUGCCGGAGUGGCCAGACUGCCCUGAACUGCCGGAGUGGCCAGACUGCCCUAAACUGCCGGAGUGGCCAGACUGCCCUGAACUGCCGGAGUGGCCAGACUGCCCAGAACUGCC